GCCAAAUUUCCAUGACCAAACAUUUUGUGUAAUCUCGGGUGUGGACAUGAAAAAAAAUCCACAGGCAUGGCUGCUGCUGAUGUUGGAACACUGGUCAUGUAAAGGUUCCCCAGUACCUGGAGAGAAAUGCAGGACAACAGCACACACUAAAGUCGCCCACGUCUCCGGCCGGCUUCGGUGUAACUCACGUGAGCGAGCAGAGGAAGGGGAGGAAUGUGAAUGCAGAUCCUGUCAUCCUCACCUGGUUGUCUCUCAUUCCCUUCACCUGGUCCUCACACCCUCCUCACCUGCCUCUGGUCACCUCGUUAG
Pseudoliparis swirei is the source of this 309-nucleotide long non-coding RNA. RefSeq lists it as uncharacterized. Lineage: Eukaryota; Metazoa; Chordata; Actinopteri; Perciformes; Liparidae. The transcript has 4 exons. The record is from RefSeq and is a predicted model, not a curated record.